RNAcentral lists this unclassified non-coding RNA (20 nucleotides) under Chlamydomonas reinhardtii. RNAcentral describes it as "small RNA Cre_2025". Lineage: Eukaryota; Viridiplantae; Chlorophyta; Chlorophyceae; Chlamydomonadales; Chlamydomonadaceae. The record is from RNAcentral.
GUGAGGAGGCGCGCGGCGGC